Molecule: ribosomal RNA, 253 nt
Filed under: uncultured bacterium
Lineage: Bacteria
Description: partial 16S ribosomal RNA
Rfam family: Bacterial small subunit ribosomal RNA
Source: RNAcentral
UACGGGGGGGGCAAGCGUUGUUCGGAAUUACUGGGCGUAAAGGGCGCGUAGGCGGCCUGCUAAGUCGGAUGUGAAAUCCCUCGGCUCAACCGAGGAACUGCAUCCGAUACUGGCGGGCUUGAAUCCAGGAGAGGGUAGUGGAAUUCCCGGUGUAGUGGUGAAAUGCGUAGAUAUCGGGAGGAACACCAGUGGCGAAGGCGACUACCUGGCCUGUUCUUGACGCUGAGGCGCGAAAGCUAGGGGAGCAAACGGG